RNAcentral lists this ribosomal RNA (374 nucleotides) under uncultured bacterium. RNAcentral describes it as "bacterial SSU rRNA". It matches the Rfam family "Bacterial small subunit ribosomal RNA", at positions 524 to 898 of the family's 1533-position model. The record is from RNAcentral.
UACGAACUGUGCGAACGUUAUUCGGAAUCACUGGGCUUAAAGGGUGCGUAGGCGGCGCUGUAAGUCAGGUGUGAAAUCCCCCGGCUCAACCGGGGAAUGGCGCUUGAAACUGCAGUGCUUGAGUGAGGUAGGGGUGCAUGGAACUUCCGGUGGAGCGGUGAAAUGUGUAGAUAUCGGAAGGAACGCCGGCGGCGAAAGCGGUGCACUGGGCCUUGUCUGACGCUGAGGCACGAAAGCUAGGGUAGCGAACGGGAUUAGAUACCCCGGUAGUCCUAGCCGUAAACACUGAGCACUGGAGCGGAGGGGUUUCGGCCUUUCCGCUCGCAGCGAAAGCGUUAAGUGCUCCGCCUGGGGAGUAUGGUCGCAAGGCUGAA